CAUUAUGCUCAGCCUUAAACCUUGAUAGUCCACUUACAAUCACUAUCCGCCCGGGUACUACGAGCAUUAGCUUAAAACCCAAAGGACUUGGCGGUGCUUAACAUCCACCUAGAGGAGCCUGUUCUAGAACCGAUAAUCCCCGUUAAACCUCACCCUCUCUUGUUUUUCCCGCCUAUAUACCGCCGUCGUCAGCUUACCCCGUGAGGAACCCAUAGUAAACACAAUUGGUAGAACCCAAAACGUCAGGUCGAGGUGUAGCUAAUGAGAGGGGAAGAAAUGGGCUACAUUUCCUAAACUAGGAAACACGAACAAUGUCCUGAAACGGACAUUAGAAGGAGGAUUUAGUAGUAAGCAGAAAAUAGAGCGUUCCGCUGAACCUGGCCCUAAAGCGCGCACACACCGCCCGUCACUCUCCCCAAGCUAAAAAAUUACACGUACUUAAAAAAUAAUACCUGCAAAGGGGAGGCAAGUCGUAA
Molecule: ribosomal RNA, 476 nt
Filed under: Chromis ternatensis (ternate chromis)
Lineage: Eukaryota; Metazoa; Chordata; Actinopteri; Pomacentridae
Description: partial small subunit ribosomal RNA
Rfam family: Bacterial small subunit ribosomal RNA
Source: RNAcentral